Long non-coding RNA from Maniola jurtina (meadow brown), 390 nucleotides. RefSeq lists it as uncharacterized. The transcript is spliced from 3 exons. NCBI's taxonomy places the organism in Eukaryota, Metazoa, Arthropoda, Insecta, Lepidoptera, Nymphalidae. The record is from RefSeq and is a predicted model, not a curated record.
CAAAAAAUAACAUAAUAUUUCGCUUACUUAAUUUUUUUCAUUAAGAUACAGUUCCGUUUAUUAGUACCUAAAUAAUUAAGUUAUUAAAAAUGGCUAUUCAUCUAUUUGGAAUAUAAUUGGAACCGAUUUUUCACCGCAGCACAUACACUAAUAAUAAAAAUAUAAAUAAAAUAUACAAUUAAAAACCGCGCAAUCUGAAAUAUCUUGACUGAACUGGAUUGAAUAAAAUAACCCGUCUUUGAUAUUCAUAACCGGCCCUUCGUAAAAUCGGUUGCUCAUAAAUAAGCUAUGCAAUCGAGCUAUAAGUAAAAUCAUGGUAAAAUCGGUCAUUCGUAAAAUCGAAUCACAAAGGGUGCUAGGACUUCGUCUGUGGUGGCGUUUGCUGGCGCG